UGGAUCCAGACUUUGAUCCUGGCUCAGGAUGAACGCUAGCUACAGGCUUAACACAUGCAAGUCGAGGGGAAACGACAUCGAAAGCUUGCUUUUGAUGGGCGUCGACCGGCGCACGGGUGAGUAACGCGUAUCCAACCUGCCCACCACUUGGGGAUAACCUUGCGAAAGUAAGACUAAUACCCAAUGAUAUCUCUAGAAGACAUCUGAAAGAGAUUAAAGAUUUAUCGGUGAUGGAUGGGGAUGCGUCUGAUUAGCUUGUUGGCGGGGUAACGGCCCACCAAGGCAACGAUCAGUAGGGGUUCUGAGAGGAAGGUCCCCCACAUUGGAACUGAGACACGGUCCAAACUCCUACGGGAGGCAGCAGUGAGGAAUAUUGGUCAAUGGACGAGAGUCUGAACCAGCCAAGUAGCGUGCAGGAAGACGGCCCUAUGGGUUGUAAACUGCUUUUAUAAGGGAAUAAAGUGAGAGUCGUGACCCUUUUUGCAUGUACCUUAUGAAUAAGGACCGGCUAAUUCCGUGCCAGCAGCCGCGGUAAUACGGAAGGUCCGGGCGUUAUCCGGAUUUAUUGGGUUUAAAGGGAGCGUAGGCCGGAGAUUAAGCGUGUUGUGAAAUGUAGACGCUCAACGUCUGCACUGCAGCGCGAACUGGUUUCCUUGAGUACGCACAAAGUGGGCGGAAUUCGUGGUGUAGCGGUGAAAUGCUUAGAUAUCACGAAGAACUCCGAUUGCGAAGGCAGCUCACUGGAGCGCAACUGACGCUGAAGCUCGAAAGUGCGGGUAUCGAACAGGAUUAGAUACCCUGGUAGUCCGCACGGUAAACGAUGGAUGCCCGCUGUUGGUCUGAAUAGGUCAGCGGCCAAGCGAAAGCAUUAAGCAUCCCACCUGGGGAGUACGCCGGCAACGGUGCAACUCAAAGGAAUUGACGGAAUG
RNAcentral lists this ribosomal RNA (929 nucleotides) under uncultured Bacteroidota bacterium. RNAcentral's name for it is "bacterial SSU rRNA". It matches the Rfam family "Bacterial small subunit ribosomal RNA", at positions 1 to 920 of the family's 1533-position model. The record is from RNAcentral. Lineage: Bacteria; Pseudomonadati; Bacteroidota.